GUAAGGUGAGAGGAAGGUGGGAUGACGUCAAAUCAGCAGGCCCUUAUGUCCAGGGCUACACACGUGUUACAAUGGCCGGCACAGAGGGCAGCUACCUGGUGACAGGAUGCUAAUCUCGAAAACCGGUCUCAGUUCGGAUCGAAGUCUGCAACUCGACUUCGUGAAGCUGGAUUCGCUAGUAAUCGCGCAUCAGCCAUGGCGCGGUGAAUACGUUCCCGGGCCUU
This 224-nucleotide ribosomal RNA is filed under the name uncultured Sphingobacteriales bacterium. RNAcentral's name for it is "partial 16S ribosomal RNA". It matches the Rfam family "Bacterial small subunit ribosomal RNA", at positions 1157 to 1382 of the family's 1533-position model. The record is from RNAcentral. Lineage: Bacteria; Pseudomonadati; Bacteroidota; Sphingobacteriia; Sphingobacteriales.